AGUGAACGCUGGCGGUAGGCCUAACACAUGCAAGUCGAACGGCAGCACAGUAAGAGCUUGCUCUUACGGGUGGCGAGUGGCGGACGGGUGAGGAAUACAUCGGAAUCUACUUUUUCGUGGGGGAUAACGUAGGGAAACUUACGCUAAUACCGCAUACGACCUACGGGUGAAAGCAGGGGAUCUUCGGACCUUGCGCGAUUGAAUGAGCCGAUGUCGGAUUAGCUAGUUGGCGGGGUAAAGGCCCACCAAGGCGACGAUCCGUAGCUGGUCUGAGAGGAUGAUCAGCCACACUGGAACUGAGACACUGUCCAGACUCCUACGGGAGGCAGCAGUGGGGAAUAUUGGACAAUGGGCGCAAGCCUGAUCCAGCCAUACCGCGUGGGUGAAGAAGGCCUUCGGGUUGUAAAGCCCUUUUGUUGGGAAAGAAAAGCAGCAGGUUAAUACCCCGCUGUUCUGACGGUACCCAAAGAAUAAGCACCGGCGAACUUCGU
Molecule: ribosomal RNA, 491 nt
Filed under: uncultured bacterium
Lineage: Bacteria
Description: partial 16S ribosomal RNA
Rfam family: Bacterial small subunit ribosomal RNA
Source: RNAcentral